RNAcentral lists this ribosomal RNA (482 nucleotides) under uncultured bacterium. RNAcentral describes it as "partial 16S ribosomal RNA". It matches the Rfam family "Bacterial small subunit ribosomal RNA", at positions 30 to 507 of the family's 1533-position model. The record is from RNAcentral.
AUUGAACGCUGGCGGCAUGCUUUACACAUGCAAGUCGAACGGUAACAGGCCGCAAGGUGCUGACGAGUGGCGAACGGGUGAGUAAUGCAUCGGAACGUGCCCAGUCGUGGGGGAUAACUACUCGAAAGAGUAGCUAAUACCGCAUACGAUCUAUGGAUGACAGCGGGGGACCGUAAGGCCUCGCGCGAUUGGAGCGGCCGAUGUCAGAUUAGGUAGUUGGUGGGGUAAAGGCUCACCAAGCCAACGAUCUGUAGCUGGUCUGAGAGGACGACCAGCCACACUGGGACUGAGACACGGCCCAGACUCCUACGGGAGGCAGCAGUGGGGAAUUUUGGACAAAGGGCGCAAGCCUGAUCCAGCAAUGCCGCGUGCAGGAAGAAGGCCUUCGGGUUGUAAACUGCUUUUGUACGGAACGAAACGGCUCUGGUUAAUACCCGGGGCUAAUGACGGUACCGUAAGAAUAAGCACCGGCUAACUACGUG